RNAcentral lists this ribosomal RNA (469 nucleotides) under uncultured bacterium. RNAcentral describes it as "bacterial SSU rRNA". It matches the Rfam family "Bacterial small subunit ribosomal RNA", at positions 29 to 506 of the family's 1533-position model. The record is from RNAcentral.
AUGAACGUUGGCGGCGUGGAUUAGGCAUGCAAGUCGAGCGAGAAGUUCCCCUUCGGGGGGACGGGCAGCGGCGAACGGGAGAGUAACGCGUGGAGUACCUACCCUUGGAUCCGGGAUAGCCGCGGGAAACUGCGGGUAAUACCGGAUAACGUCUCCGGACCAAAGGUGUGAUUCCGUCUGAGGAUGGCUCCGCGUCCUAUUAGCUUGUUGGUGGGGUAACGGCCUACCAAGGCGACGAUGGGUACCGGGUGUGAGAGCAUGACCCGGCUCACUGGGACUGAGACACUGCCCAGACACCUACGGGUGGCUGUAGUCGAGAAUCUUCGGCAAUGGACGCAAGUCCGACCGAGCGACGCCGCGUGCGGGAUGAAGGCCUUCGGGUUGUAAACCGCUGUCAGUGGGGAGGAAAUCCAGGGGAGUUAUCUCUUCUGGUUGACCUAUCUUCGGAGGAAGUGCGGGCUAAGUUCGU